RNAcentral lists this ribosomal RNA (420 nucleotides) under bacterium. RNAcentral's name for it is "partial 16S ribosomal RNA". It matches the Rfam family "Bacterial small subunit ribosomal RNA", at positions 355 to 776 of the family's 1533-position model. The record is from RNAcentral.
UGGGGGAUAUUGCACAAUGGGCGAAAGCCUGAUGCAGCGACGCCGCGUGGGGGAUGAAGGCUUUCGGGUUGUAAACCUCUUUCGCUAUCGAACAAGGCCCGCUUAGGGUGGGUUGAGGGUAGGUGGAGAAGAAGCGCCGGCUAACUACGUGCCAGCAGCCGCGGUAAUACGUAGGGCGCGAGCGUUGUCCGGAAUUAUUGGGCGUAAAGGGCUUGUAGGCGGCUUGUUGCGCCUGCUGUGAAAACGCGGGGCUUAACGUCGCGCGUGCAGUGGGUACGGGCAGGCUUGAGUGUGGUAGGGGUGACUGGAAUUCCAGGUGUAGCGGUGGAAUGCGCAGAUAUCUGGAGGAACACCGAUGGCGAAGGCAGGUCACUGGGCCAUUACUGACGCUGAGGAGCGAAAGCAUGGGUAGCGAACAGG